This 409-nucleotide ribosomal RNA is filed under the name Asticcacaulis excentricus. RNAcentral describes it as "bacterial SSU rRNA". It matches the Rfam family "Bacterial small subunit ribosomal RNA", at positions 951 to 1379 of the family's 1533-position model. Lineage: Bacteria; Pseudomonadati; Pseudomonadota; Alphaproteobacteria; Caulobacterales; Caulobacteraceae. The record is from RNAcentral.
UCGAAGCAAACGCGCAGAACCUUACCAGCUCUUGACAUGCCCUGCUACCCAGUGGAGACCCCUGGGUUCCCUUCGGGGACAGGGACACAGGUGUUGCAUGGCUGUCGUCAGCUCGUGUCGUGAGAUGUUGGGUUAAGUCCCGCAACGAGCGCAACCCUCGCCUCUAGUUGCCAGCAUUCAGUUGGGCACUCUAGAGGGACUGCCGGUGAUAAGCCGAGAGGAAGGUGGGGAUGACGUCAAGUCCUCAUGGCCCUUACGGGCUGGGCUACACACGUGCUACAAUGGCAGUGACAAUGGGUGAAUCCCUAAAAACUGUCCCAGUUCGGAUUGUUCUCUGCAACUCGAGAGCAUGAAGUGGGAAUCGCUAGUAAUCGUGGAACAGCAUGCCACGGUGAAUACGUUCCCAGGC